UGACUUUUUCCUAAGUCAAACUUCUCUAGAUUUGAUCAAGUUUAUAGAAAAAUAUAGCAAUAUUUUCAACACAAAGCAAAGAAACUAUCAAAAUAUGUUUAAUGUUAGAUGUAAUGAAACUAAUUUGGUGCUAUAAGUGUUGCUAUAUUUUUCUAUAAACUUGGUAAAAUUUUCAAGAAGUUUGACUUAAAAAAGUCAAAA
This 201-nucleotide microRNA precursor is filed under the name Oryza punctata. Its description in RNAcentral is "MIR1435 microRNA precursor family". It matches the Rfam family "MIR1435 microRNA precursor family". The record is from Rfam by way of RNAcentral. Lineage: Eukaryota; Viridiplantae; Streptophyta; Magnoliopsida; Poales; Poaceae.